Molecule: ribosomal RNA, 492 nt
Filed under: uncultured bacterium
Lineage: Bacteria
Description: partial 16S ribosomal RNA
Rfam family: Bacterial small subunit ribosomal RNA
Source: RNAcentral
AGUGAACGCUGGCGGUAUGCCUAACACAUGCAAGUCGAACGGCAGCACAGUAAGAGCUUGCUCUUACGGGUGGCGAGUGGCGGACGGGUGAGGAAUACAUCGGAAUCUACUUUUUCGUGGGGGAUAACGUAGGGAAACUUACGCUAAUACCGCAUACGACCUACGGGUGAAAGCAGGGGAUCUUCGGACCUUGCGCGAUUGAAUUAGCCGAUGUCGGAUUAGCUAGUUGGCGGGGUAAAGGCCCACCAAGGCGACGAUCCGUAGCUGGUCUGAGAGGAUGAUCGGCCACACUGGAACGGAGACACGGUCCAGACUCCUACGGGAGGGCGCAGUGGGGAAUAUUGGACAAUGGGCGCAAGCCUGAUCCAGCCAUACCGCGUGGGUGAAGAAGGCCUUCGGGUUGUAAAGCCCUUUUGUUGGGAAAGAAAAGCAGCAGGUUAAUACCCCGCUGUUCUGACGGUAACCAAAGAAUAAGCACCGGCUAACUUCGUG